GAUGAAGAACGCAGCGAAAUGCGAUACUUGGUGUGAAUUGCAGAAUCCCGUGAACCAUCGAGUCUUUGAACGCAAGUUGCGCCCGAAGCCUCGGCUAAGGGCACGUCUGCCUGGGCGUCACGCAUCGCGUCUCCCCCAACCGCCAAGGCGGAGGGGAAGGAAGAUGGCUUCCCGUGCCUCACCCGGGCGCGGUUGGCCUAAAUUUGGAGCCCGCGGCACUUAGCUCUCGCGGCGAUAGGUGGUGAACAAGGCCUUGGCCGUGCAAACAACCCGCUGCGAAGCUCUAUGUCACGUGCGCUCGUCGGACCCUUUGAAGUUGCCUUUGGUGACUUAAAACCUUUGCGACCCCAGGUCAGGCGGGGCUACCCGCUGAAUUUAAGCAUAUCAAUAAGCGGAGGA
This 399-nucleotide unclassified non-coding RNA is filed under the name soil metagenome. RNAcentral's name for it is "partial contains 5.8S ribosomal RNA, internal transcribed spacer 2, and large subunit ribosomal RNA". The stretch from base 1 to 120 matches the Rfam family "5.8S ribosomal RNA", at positions 35 to 154 of the family's 154-position model. The record is from RNAcentral.